Molecule: ribosomal RNA, 504 nt
Filed under: uncultured bacterium
Lineage: Bacteria
Description: bacterial SSU rRNA
Rfam family: Bacterial small subunit ribosomal RNA
Source: RNAcentral
AGUUUGAUCAUGGCUCAGGAUGAACGCUAGCGGCAGGCUUAAUACAUGCAAGUCGAGGGGCGGCAUGGUGUAGCAAUACACUGAUGGCGACCGGCAAACGGGUGCGGAACACGUACAGAACCUUCCUUCGAGCGGGGAAUAGCCCAGAGAAAUUUGGAUUAAUACCCCAUAGUAUAUUGGAGUGGCAUCACUUUAGUAUUAAAGAUUUAUCACUUGAAGAUGGCUGUGCGGCUGAUUAGGUAGUUGGCGGGGUAACGGCCCACCAAGCCUGCGAUCAGUAACUGGUGUGAGAGCACGACCAGUCACACGGGCACUGAGACACGGGCCCGACUCCUACGGGAGGCAGCAGUAAGGAAUAUUGGUCAAUGGACGAAAGUCUGAACCAGCCAUGCCGCGUGGAGGAUGAAGGUCCUCUGGAUUGUAAACUUCUUUUAUAUGGGACGAAAAAAGGGCUUUCUAGCUCGUCUGACGGUACCAUAUGAAUAAGCACCGGCUAACUCCGUG